GGGUCGCUAGCUCAAUUGGCAGAGCAUCUGACUCUUAAUCAGAGGGUUCAGGGUUCGAGUCCCUGGCGACUCA
This 73-nucleotide transfer RNA is filed under the name Chloroflexi bacterium ADurb.Bin325. Its description in RNAcentral is "tRNA-Lys". It matches the Rfam family "tRNA". Rfam says of the family: Transfer RNA (tRNA) molecules are approximately 80 nucleotides in length. RNAcentral also lists the same sequence under 5 other names. Lineage: Bacteria; Bacillati; Chloroflexota. The record is from RNAcentral.